Molecule: ribosomal RNA, 2930 nt
Filed under: Escherichia coli
Lineage: Bacteria; Pseudomonadati; Pseudomonadota; Gammaproteobacteria; Enterobacterales; Enterobacteriaceae
Description: 23S ribosomal RNA
Rfam family: Bacterial large subunit ribosomal RNA
Source: RNAcentral
GGGUUGUGAGGUUAAGCGACUAAGCGUACACGGUGGAUGCCCUGGCAGUCAGAGGCGAUGAAGGACGUGCUAAUCUGCGAUAAGCGUCGGUAAGGUGAUAUGAACCGUUAUAACCGGCGAUUUCCGAAUGGGGAAACCCAGUGUGUUUCGACACACUAUCAUUAACUGAAUCCAUAGGUUAAUGAGGCGAACCGGGGGAACUGAAACAUCUAAGUACCCCGAGGAAAAGAAAUCAACCGAGAUUCCCCCAGUAGCGGCGAGCGAACGGGGAGCAGCCCAGAGCCUGAAUCAGUAUGUGUGUUAGUGGAAGCGUCUGGAAAGGCGCGCGAUACAGGGUGACAGCCCCGUACACAAAAAUGCACAUGCUGUGAGCUCGAUGAGUAGGGCGGGACACGUGGUAUCCUGUCUGAAUAUGGGGGGACCAUCCUCCAAGGCUAAAUACUCCUGACUGACCGAUAGUGAACCAGUACCGUGAGGGAAAGGCGAAAAGAACCCCGGCGAGGGGAGUGAAAAAGAACCUGAAACCGUGUACGUACAAGCAGUGGGAGCACGCUUAGGCGUGUGACUGCGUACCUUUUGUAUAAUGGGUCAGCGACUUAUAUUCUGUAGCAAGGUUAACCGAAUAGGGGAGCCGAAGGGAAACCGAGUCUUAACUGGGCGUUAAGUUGCAGGGUAUAGACCCGAAACCCGGUGAUCUAGCCAUGGGCAGGUUGAAGGUUGGGUAACACUAACUGGAGGACCGAACCGACUAAUGUUGAAAAAUUAGCGGAUGACUUGUGGCUGGGGGUGAAAGGCCAAUCAAACCGGGAGAUAGCUGGUUCUCCCCGAAAGCUAUUUAGGUAGCGCCUCGUGAAUUCAUCUCCGGGGGUAGAGCACUGUUUCGGCAAGGGGGUCAUCCCGACUUACCAACCCGAUGCAAACUGCGAAUACCGGAGAAUGUUAUCACGGGAGACACACGGCGGGUGCUAACGUCCGUCGUGAAGAGGGAAACAACCCAGACCGCCAGCUAAGGUCCCAAAGUCAUGGUUAAGUGGGAAACGAUGUGGGAAGGCCCAGACAGCCAGGAUGUUGGCUUAGAAGCAGCCAUCAUUUAAAGAAAGCGUAAUAGCUCACUGGUCGAGUCGGCCUGCGCGGAAGAUGUAACGGGGCUAAACCAUGCACCGAAGCUGCGGCAGCGACACUAUGUGUUGUUGGGUAGGGGAGCGUUCUGUAAGCCUGUGAAGGUGUGCUGUGAGGCAUGCUGGAGGUAUCAGAAGUGCGAAUGCUGACAUAAGUAACGAUAAAGCGGGUGAAAAGCCCGCUCGCCGGAAGACCAAGGGUUCCUGUCCAACGUUAAUCGGGGCAGGGUGAGUCGACCCCUAAGGCGAGGCCGAAAGGCGUAGUCGAUGGGAAACAGGUUAAUAUUCCUGUACUUGGUGUUACUGCGAAGGGGGGACGGAGAAGGCUAUGUUGGCCGGGCGACGGUUGUCCCGGUUUAAGCGUGUAGGCUGGUUUUCCAGGCAAAUCCGGAAAAUCAAGGCUGAGGCGUGAUGACGAGGCACUACGGUGCUGAAGCAACAAAUGCCCUGCUUCCAGGAAAAGCCUCUAAGCAUCAGGUAACAUCAAAUCGUACCCCAAACCGACACAGGUGGUCAGGUAGAGAAUACCAAGGCGCUUGAGAGAACUCGGGUGAAGGAACUAGGCAAAAUGGUGCCGUAACUUCGGGAGAAGGCACGCUGAUAUGUAGGUGAAGUCCCUUGCGGAUGGAGCUGAAAUCAGUCGAAGAUACCAGCUGGCUGCAACUGUUUAUUAAAAACACAGCACUGUGCAAACACGAAAGUGGACGUAUACGGUGUGACGCCUGCCCGGUGCCGGAAGGUUAAUUGAUGGGGUCAGCGCAAGCGAAGCUCUUGAUCGAAGCCCCGGUAAACGGCGGCCGUAACUAUAACGGUCCUAAGGUAGCGAAAUUCCUUGUCGGGUAAGUUCCGACCUGCACGAAUGGCGUAAUGAUGGCCAGGCUGUCUCCACCCGAGACUCAGUGAAAUUGAACUCGCUGUGAAGAUGCAGUGUACCCGCGGCAAGACGGAAAGACCCCGUGAACCUUUACUAUAGCUUGACACUGAACAUUGAGCCUUGAUGUGUAGGAUAGGUGGGAGGCUUUGAAGUGUGGACGCCAGUCUGCAUGGAGCCGACCUUGAAAUACCACCCUUUAAUGUUUGAUGUUCUAACGUUGACCCGUAAUCCGGGUUGCGGACAGUGUCUGGUGGGUAGUUUGACUGGGGCGGUCUCCUCCUAAAGAGUAACGGAGGAGCACGAAGGUUGGCUAAUCCUGGUCGGACAUCAGGAGGUUAGUGCAAUGGCAUAAGCCAGCUUGACUGCGAGCGUGACGGCGCGAGCAGGUGCGAAAGCAGGUCAUAGUGAUCCGGUGGUUCUGAAUGGAAGGGCCAUCGCUCAACGGAUAAAAGGUACUCCGGGGAUAACAGGCUGAUACCGCCCAAGAGUUCAUAUCGACGGCGGUGUUUGGCACCUCGAUGUCGGCUCAUCACAUCCUGGGGCUGAAGUAGGUCCCAAGGGUAUGGCUGUUCGCCAUUUAAAGUGGUACGCGAGCUGGGUUUAGAACGUCGUGAGACAGUUCGGUCCCUAUCUGCCGUGGGCGCUGGAGAACUGAGGGGGGCUGCUCCUAGUACGAGAGGACCGGAGUGGACGCAUCACUGGUGUUCGGGUUGUCAUGCCAAUGGCACUGCCCGGUAGCUAAAUGCGGAAGAGAUAAGUGCUGAAAGCAUCUAAGCACGAAACUUGCCCCGAGAUGAGUUCUCCCUGACCCUUUAAGGGUCCUGAAGGAACGUUGAAGACGACGACGUUGAUAGGCCGGGUGUGUAAGCGCAGCGAUGCGUUGAGCUAACCGGUACUAAUGAACCGUGAGGCUUAACCUUACAACGCCGAAGGUGUUU